RNAcentral lists this ribosomal RNA (492 nucleotides) under uncultured bacterium. RNAcentral's name for it is "partial 16S ribosomal RNA". It matches the Rfam family "Bacterial small subunit ribosomal RNA", at positions 29 to 507 of the family's 1533-position model. The record is from RNAcentral.
AGUGAACGCUGGCGGUAGGCCUAACACAUGCAAGUCGAACGGCAGCACAGUAAGAGCUUGCUCUUACGGGUGGCGAGUGGCGGACGGGUGAGGAAUACAUCGGAAUCUACUUUUUCGUGGGGGAUAACGUAGGGAAACUUACGCUAAUACCGCAUACGACCUACGGGUGAAAGCAGGGGAUCUUCGGACCUUGCGCGAUUGAAUGAGCCGAUGUCGGAUUAGCUAGUUGGCGGGGUAAAGGCCCACCAAGGCGACGAUCCGUAGCUGGUCUGAGAGGAUGGUCGGCCACACUGGAACUGAGACACGGACCAGACUCCUACGGGAGGCAGCAGUGGGGAAUAUUGGACAAUGGGCGCAAGCCUGAUCCAGCCAUACCGCGUGGGUGAAGAAGGCCUUCGGGUUGUAAAGCCCUUUUGUUGGGAAAGAAAAGCAGCAGGUUAAUACCCCGCUGUUCUGACGGUACCCAAAGAAUAAGCACCGGCUAACUUCGUG